RNAcentral lists this ribosomal RNA (520 nucleotides) under Acinetobacter sp. RNAcentral's name for it is "bacterial SSU rRNA". It matches the Rfam family "Bacterial small subunit ribosomal RNA", at positions 382 to 894 of the family's 1533-position model. The record is from RNAcentral. Lineage: Bacteria; Pseudomonadati; Pseudomonadota; Gammaproteobacteria; Moraxellales; Moraxellaceae.
CCUGAUCAGCCAUGCCGCGUGUGUGAAGAAGGCCUUUUGGUUGUAAAGCACUUUAAGCGAGGAGGAGGCUACCGAGAUUAAUACUCUUGGAUAGUGGACGUUACUCGCAGAAUAAGCACCGGCUAACUCUGUGCCAGCAGCCGCGGUAAUACAGAGGGUGCAAGCGUUAAUCGGAUUUACUGGGCGUAAAGCGCGCGUAGGUGGCCAAUUAAGUCAAAUGUGAAAUCCCCGAGCUUAACUUGGGAAUUGCAUUCGAUACUGGUUGGCUAGAGUAUGGGAGAGGAUGGUAGAAUUCCAGGUGUAGCGGUGAAAUGCGUAGAGAUCUGGAGGAAUACCGAUGGCGAAGGCAGCCAUCUGGCCUAAUACUGACACUGAGGUGCGAAAGCAUGGGGAGCAAACAGGAUUAGAUACCCUGGUAGUCCAUGCCGUAAACGAUGUCUACUAGCCGUUGGGGCCUUUGAGGCUUUAGUGGCGCAGCUAACGCGAUAAGUAGACCGCCUGGGGAGUACGGUCGCAAGAC